Bactrocera dorsalis (oriental fruit fly) is the source of this 2191-nucleotide long non-coding RNA. RefSeq lists it as uncharacterized. The record is from RefSeq and is a predicted model, not a curated record. The transcript is spliced from 2 exons. NCBI's taxonomy places the organism in Eukaryota, Metazoa, Arthropoda, Insecta, Diptera, Tephritidae.
UCUGCAUAAUGCAGAGUCAAACAUCGUGAAAUGCUGUUCCAGUUUAGUGGAGUAUUAUACGACUCCAAAACAUUAUCAGCAGUUCCAGUUAUUUUAUUUCUUAUAGAAUUUAUAAUACCAAAAUAUUUAGCUGUUCCUCUGAUAGGUUCGUACAACUUUAAAAUUCUAUCAACGCUCUUCUUCCAAGAGCUGUAUUCGAUUGGAUUUCCCGAAAAUUCUCUGAGGCAGCGAACUACGUCAGGAACCUUAUCUAGAUCAUCAAUAUUAUGCCUAUAUUCGCUGUUAAUUACUUCAUCUGUACAGUUAAGUUCGUUAUGAUUAGUUUGUCUGCUGUCUUCGGUGAGGCAUACAUUUCUCACUAUUCUUCUAAUCAGAGCUUCUAAUUCUGGUGUUGCGUUUACUUGCUCUAUAAUUGGUGUAUUGGCAGGAGAGGGUACGGAUGGUAUAUUUAUUAUUGGUGGACGAAUAAGGUUGUUUGGGUUAGUCAUUUUGAUUAUUUGUUUGAUUAUAUAUUUUUAUUCUAUUAAUUUUUUGUAGUUUUUUUAGGUUAUAUUCGUAUUUAUUAUAAGAACCGGAGGGUCCCCCCGAAGGUGGUGAAUCGCGGUCUUUUUAGGUAUUUUUAGUUAUAGCUGUAUAAGCCUCUAAAAUGGUUAUUAUUGUUUUAAUAUCGAAUUAUAUCCGAUCUCUGGAGGGUCCCCCCGAAGGUGGUGAAUCGCAGAGGCGUUUUAAGUUAGAAAAUGGUUGAUAUUAUGAUUGUUCUCUGGAGGGUCCCCCCGAAGGUGGUGAAUCGCAGAGACGUUUUAAGUUAGAAAAUUGUUAAUAUUAUGAUUAUUCUCUGGAGGGUCCCCCCGAAGGUGGUGAAUCGCAGAGACGUUUUAAGUUAGAAAAUGGUUAAUAUUAUGAUUGUUCUCUGGAGGGUCCCCCCGAAGGUGGUGAAUCGCAGAGACGUUUUAAGUUAGAAAAUUGUUACUAUUAUGAUUGUUCUCUGGAGGGUCCCCCCGAAGGUGGUGAAUCGCAGAGACGUUUUAAGUUAGAAAAUUGUUACUAUUAUGAUUGUUCUCUGGAGGGUCCCCCCGAAGGUGGUGAAUCGCAGAGACGUUUUAAGAUAGAAAAUUAUUAUAAGGAUUAAAAGUUCCUUUUUAAUGUGGUGUUAUUUUAUAUUGAUUUUCAACAAAAUAUUAUAAUUUUAAUUUAUGAUUGUAUUUUAUUUUAUUAUAAGGAUUAUUUUAAAUUAAAAUUUAAAUUUGCUUUUAUGUUAUAUUGAAUUGAAAUUAAUAUUUCUUAAUAAAUUUAAAUAAGUAGUAGGAAAACAAUUUAUUUUAUUUUUACUAAUAAGUAUUCGUAUAUACAUACAUAUAUAAUAUAUAUUUUGCUGUCUCAAAAAAAGAGAUUUUUUUUGAACUUUUUUUUUUUUUUACUUUUUUUUUGUUUUUUUUUUUUUGUUUAGUAAUAACUAUUUUACCUCAUUUUUCAAUUCAUUAUAUUAAUUUUUUGUGUUCAACUAAAAAUACACUUUUACAUACACUUUUGUGAAAUGAAUAUCUGAUUCAAAUUCUUCUUUUUUUGGUAAAAGAUAAUAUUUUUUGUUUGGAAAACGGUUUUUUCUCGAUUUUUUUUUUUUUUGAAUUUUUACUAAUUUAUAUUAAUUUUUUGUGUUCAACUAGGAAUACCAUACACUUUUUUGAACCACUUAUUCAAAUUUUACAUUUUAGAUAGAAGAUAAUAUUAUUUUUAACACUUUUCACUUACAUAUGUAUUUAAUUGAUUGAAUUAUAUAAUUAAAAAUGGGAAUUAAAAAUACUUAAAAUUAGCAUCUUACACGUGCAUGGCUGGAAGAAGAGUCCCUUUUAGUCCUUUGCGUCGUUACUUGGGUUCCCCCGAUGGCCACUUCCUCGCACGCUUCUCUUCCUCAAGCAUGGGUAAGAGAUCGAGGUUGACGAUUAAUCCGGCUAGGAGGAUAAUUGAUUAAAAUUCCUCUGCAAACUCCUUCAGGCUGUUGUGUGGUUCUCCAAUCCGUUGGGCGCCAGUUAACUUAUUUUGAGUUUAAUUUUUCUUUUUAUUUAAAAUUUCAUUUAUCAGUGUAAACAUUUUGUCACGCACUGUACAAGUUAAGUAUUUAAUUUUACUUUUUAUAUUUUUGGAGUAACAUCCAACUAGCGCAGUGAACAGCCGAAUUAAAAGUGAAACUUAA